Molecule: long non-coding RNA, 512 nt
Organism: Nerophis ophidion (straightnose pipefish)
Lineage: Eukaryota; Metazoa; Chordata; Actinopteri; Syngnathiformes; Syngnathidae
Exons: 3
Source: RefSeq, a predicted model, not a curated record
AAAACACUACACUACCCACAAUGCACCUCUACAAAGACGACCAAAAGGAACAACAAAGCACUCCAGCCUCAAUGACAGCUGAGCAAAGUUUUGCCGGGGGAAAUUUCAGUGCUGACUACACCCUCGAACGGACACGAAUAAGUUAACAAUCCCCACCUCUGCCUCUUCCUACAGUUGCUGUGUCCCUUUAUAAGUCACAUUUCGUACAGCGCUGCCAGCCCAUAAUAGCGCUCCAUGGAGCAGGGAAUGUUUCACCUGAAGCACUCGCAUUGAACAAGAGUGACUACCCAGCUUAAGUAAAUCUCGAUUGUAUUCCAGCCUGUACCUUCUCCCUGAGCCACCAGGGGGCCCCCAGUCCCACAGGUUGACUUCAGAAAGAGUUGGCCUCACCAUCCACCAUCAAGCUCACCCAUCGUGUUUUCUUCUUGUACUCCUCAUUCUUCCACCUCCUGGCCCACCUGGACUCCCAGUCCGCCUUCUCCCUCCAUGGGGGCUGGGGGGAGGUGCCAGGG